This 148-nucleotide small RNA is filed under the name Pongo abelii (Sumatran orangutan). RNAcentral's name for it is "Metazoan signal recognition particle RNA (ENSPPYG00000035443.1)". It matches the Rfam family "Metazoan signal recognition particle RNA". From Rfam's summary of the family: The signal recognition particle (SRP) is a universally conserved ribonucleoprotein. It is involved in the co-translational targeting of proteins to membranes. Lineage: Eukaryota; Metazoa; Chordata; Mammalia; Primates; Hominidae. The record is from Rfam by way of RNAcentral.
GCUGGACGUGGUGGCACGCACCUGUAGUCCCAGCUACUUGGGAGGCUGAGGCAGGAGGAUCGCUUGAGCCCAGGAGUUUGAGGCUGCAGUGAGUUAUAAUUGCACCACUGCAGUCCAGCCUGGGCAACAGAGCAAGACCCUGUCUCUA